This 847-nucleotide ribosomal RNA is filed under the name uncultured fungus. RNAcentral's name for it is "eukaryotic LSU rRNA". The stretch from base 401 to 554 matches the Rfam family "5.8S ribosomal RNA". Lineage: Eukaryota; Fungi. The record is from RNAcentral.
ACAAGGUUUCCGUAGGUGAACCUGCGGAAGGAUCAUUAAAGAAAUUUAAUAAUUUUGAAAAUGGAUUUUUUUGUUUUGGCAAGAGCAUGAGAGCUUUUACUGGGCAAGAAGACAAGAGAUGGAGAGUCCAGCCGGGCCUGCGCUUAAGUGCGCGGUCGUGCUAGGCUUGUAAGUUUCUUUCUUGCUAUUCCAAACGGUGAGAGAUUUCUGUGCUUUUGUUAUAGGACAAUUAAAACCGUUUCAAUACAACACACUGUGGAGUUUUCAUAUCUUUGCAACUUUUUCUUUGGGCAUUCGAGCAAUCGGGGCCCAGAGGUAACAAACACAAACAAUUUUAUCUAUUCAUUAAAUUUUUGUCAAAAACAAGAAUUUUCGUAACUGGAAAUUUUAAAAUAUUAAAAACUUUCAACAACGGAUCUCUUGGUUCUCGCAUCGAUGAAGAACGCAGCGAAAUGCGAUACGUAAUGUGAAUUGCAGAAUUCCGUGAAUCAUCGAAUCUUUGAACGCACAUUGCGCCCCUUGGUAUUCCAGGGGGCAUGCCUGUUCGAGCGUCAUUUCCUUCUCAAACAUUCUGUUUGGUAGUGAGUGAUACUCUUUGGAGUUAACUUGAAAUUGCUGGCCUUUUCAUUGGAUGUUUUUUUUCCAAAGAGAGGUUUCUCUGCGUGCUUGAGGUAUAAUGCAAGUACGGUCGUUUUAGGUUUUACCAACUGCGGCUAAUCUUUUUUUAUACUGAGCGUAUUGGAACGUUAUCGAUAAGAAGAGAGCGUCUAGGCGAACAAUGUUCUUAAAGUUUGACCUCAAAUCAGGUAGGAGUACCCGCUGAACUUAAGCAUAUCAAUAAGCGGAG